RNAcentral lists this ribosomal RNA (460 nucleotides) under uncultured bacterium. Its description in RNAcentral is "partial 16S ribosomal RNA". It matches the Rfam family "Bacterial small subunit ribosomal RNA", at positions 338 to 795 of the family's 1533-position model. The record is from RNAcentral.
CCUACGGGAGGCAGCAGUGAGGAAUAUUGGUCAAUGGGCGUAAGCCUGAACCAGCCAAGUCGCGUGAGGGAUGAAGGUUCUAUGGAUCGUAAACCUCUUUUAUAAGGGAAUAAAGUGCGGGACGAGUCCCGUUUUGUGUGUACCUGAUGAAUAAGGAUCGGCUAACUCCGUGCCAGCAGCCGCGGUAAUACGGAGGAUCCGAGCGUUAUCCGGAUUUAUUGGGUUUAAAGGGUGCGUAGGCGGCCUUUUAAGUCAGCGGUGAAAGUCUGGGGCUCAACCCUCGAAUUGCCGUUGAAACUGGGGGGCUUGAGUAGGUGAGAGGCAGGCGGAAUGCGUGGUGUAGCGGUGAAAUGCUUAGAUAUCACGCAGAACCCCGAUUGCGAAGGCAGCCUACCAGGCCAUGACUGACGCUGAGGCACGAAAGCGUGGGGAUCAAACAGGAUUAGAUACCCCAGUAGUC